This 253-nucleotide ribosomal RNA is filed under the name uncultured bacterium. RNAcentral describes it as "partial 16S ribosomal RNA". It matches the Rfam family "Bacterial small subunit ribosomal RNA", at positions 524 to 776 of the family's 1533-position model. The record is from RNAcentral.
UACGUAGGGGGCGAGCGUUGUCCGGAUUUAUUGGGCGUAAAGCGCGCGUAGGCGGUUACUCAAGUCGGAUGUGAAAGCCCUCGGCUUAACUGAGGAAGUGCACCCGAAACUGAGUAGCUAGAGUACUAAAGAGGGUCGCGGAAUUCCCGGUGUAGAGGUGAAAUUCGUAGAUAUCGGGAGGAACACCGGUGGCGAAGGCGGCGACCUGGUCCGAUACUGACGCUGAGGCGCGAAAGCGUGGGGAGCAAACAGG